Molecule: ribosomal RNA, 319 nt
Filed under: uncultured bacterium
Lineage: Bacteria
Description: bacterial SSU rRNA
Rfam family: Bacterial small subunit ribosomal RNA
Source: RNAcentral
AUUGAACGCUGGCGGCAUGCCUAACACAUGCAAGUCGAACGGUAACAGGCCCUUCGGGCGCUGACGAGUGGCGGACGGGUGAGUAAUGCUUAGGAAUCUGCCUAGUAGUGGGGGAUAACCCGGGGAACUCGGGCUAAUACCGCAUACGUCCUACGGGAGAAAGCGGGGGACCGUUCGGGCCUCGCGCUAUUAGAUGAGCCUAAGUCCGAUUAGCUAGUUGGUAGGGUAACGGCCUACCAAGGCGACGAUCGGUAGCUGGUCUGAGAGGACGACCAGCCACACUGGGACUGAGACACGGCCCAGACUCCUACGGGAGGCA